CCAAUCACCAUUCCCUCAUUCAUGCAUUUAUAUUUGUAAGGGUGUUUGUUUAUGUUGCGGUGUUUUUGCAAAAGGCUGUUUUGAUUAAAUUCAGUGCUUUUUUAUUGACAUAACUUGCAAGAUAAUAUCAAAAUGAAAGUUGAUGUGCCAGCUCCAAAUGAUAAAUCAAAGAUCCCUUUGCCGACCCUUUCUCAGAUAAAUGCUGAUAGAAUAACACUUCUUGCAACCCAAUAUUGGUCACCUCAACCUAAAGAUAAUCACUUGCCCUAUGAUGCUGCUAUUGUGGAGUCCAUAUAUCAAGCAGAGAUCCUUGGAUCAAAUUUUUCUGUACGGCGUAUAAUGAUGUUGGAAUUUUCGCAAUACCUCGAAAAUUAUUUUUGGCCACAUUAUGAGACGGGGAAGGCAUCUCACGCUCAUAUGAUGUCAAUAAUCGUAAUGAAUAAUGAGAAGUUCCGUGAGAGGGUCCCAGCAUGGCAGGCAUUACUAAAGAAACCAGAUGACUUUCCUGGCUUCUUUGAGCAAGUUCUUCAUGCUAGUGUAGCGGAAGACCAUUUAAGUAACAAUAUGAGGGAGCAGACAAAUCUCCUACUCUUUUUGAACCAUUGCUUUGGGAGUAUGGAGGUGCAAUUAUGCAGAGAUCAAGUGAAACGAUUGGUGUCUCUUAGCAUGUGGAUUAGUUUGCAAGAAGGUCGAUGAAAUCAAGAGUUCAAAAACGUGCCAAAAUGGCGGAAGUAUUGGAGGGCCACACAGAAGAAGGACAAACCUGAACUUUUAGAUAAGUUGAACUGGGAGAGGCGAUACUUGCAGAAACUCAUGAUUAAAUUUAUGAGGACAUUGGAAAGCAUUCCUGAGGAGGGUGAUGUUAACCCAGAUAAAAUAAGAUACUGCGAGCGAUUCCUGGAGCUGAUGAUCGACCUUGAAGCAUUAUUACCAACACGGCGCUUCUUCAACACCGUCAUGGACGAUUGGGGUUGGGUGUGAGUCAAACGCACCUGAAUUUGAUGAUACUGAUUGUGCAGGAGUCUCGGGGACCCUUGAUUGGAACACCUCCAAGUGAUUUUAGCUUUAGGAUAAGCGUCAAACGACUCCCUCGGAGAAACACAACAAAUACCCCGAACAGCCCGCUUCUGCAGCACAAAUAUGGAUUGGACCUCUGCAGCAGCACCCCACAGUAGAAUACCGUACGACAUAACGCUGUGAAAGUAGCUAUGAUCCACAAUAGAUUUAUUAACUGUCAUUGAAGUGUUUAACUGAGCGAUGAAAGUCAAUAAACACUUUAGUGGGGGUUAUUUUACUAGAAGACAAAUAUCAGGAAACAAGUUUUGUCUCCUGUUUGAUGUCAGCCAUAACCUGAACAAUGAAUGCCUACGUAUAACCCGCGGCACGUAAGUCUAGCGCUGGCCGAUACGCGGAGGGGAUUGCUGCGCAUGUGUACUGUCGCGCGGGGGACAAAAUGCGACUGGAGAGCCAAUCGACACUCUUCAUUCCGCUAGCCCCCCUCAGGUACCUUAUUUUUUACUUCUGCGCAAUAACGGUCAGCGCUAGACUUACGUGCCGCGGGUUAUAGGUUAGGAAAAAUCAUAUGUAUGCAAAUUUUCUGUAGAGGUAUCAUAAUAUAUUCAUUGAAUUUGUAGAAA
Pieris napi is the source of this 1637-nucleotide RNA transcript. It is a transcript of the gene named RNA helicase aquarius-like, with no coding region annotated. Lineage: Eukaryota; Metazoa; Arthropoda; Insecta; Lepidoptera; Pieridae. The transcript has 7 exons. The record is from RefSeq and is a predicted model, not a curated record.